GAAUUACCAUAAGUCCUCAUAGUAAGUACUGUAGGUAUAUAUUCAUGAUGUCGAGAAAAACGCCCCUCAGACAAAUCACUGCAACUUUACCAGGUUAACGUAGCAACUAUCGAUCAUUUGAAGACAAAAUCUGGUGUAGUUAACAUCAUACUAGAUACGUAUGUUUGUCGUACAACAAAAUUGGAUUAUCCAACUCUCUUUUCUAUUCAAGGCUUCCUCACAUCUAUAAUUAGAAGUGAUCUGUCUAAAUUAGGCUGAUUUCAACUUGGCAGAUGAUGAUGCUAAAUAUGAAAGGGUUCUAUGCCCAACAAACAUCAAGAAGAUCCCCAAAAAUCCAAGCGCUUGGAGUGUUGUGAAUAGAUUCAGCUUCAACCAAAAUAGUAAAUAGAGUGUUAAGACAGCUGCUAUGCCAAGGUGGAAAAGAAUGGCAAAUGUAGCAAGUGCUGAUGCUUUUGGGAAGUUCUUCAGGUUGACUUGCAGCCUCAAAAGCCCGACCAAAAAUCCAAUAAAUGGCAAGAGAACAAGGGCCAAAAAGAUGAGAGAAAGCCCCUUAGGAGGUCUUUUCUCGGGAGCUCUGAAUAUGUGAGAUAUUUCUGCCUUGGGCCCAAAUCUUGAGGUAGAAUCAAUAGGUUGUGGAGGAGGGCGAGUUGCCUUUUCUGGAGGCUCCGGCAGAUCUAAUUCAAUUGAACCCAGUAGUAGGAAGAACGAGUUUUCCAUGACAGCAUCCCCAACUGUAAGUUGGAUGUCAUAUCUACCUGAUAGAUAGAAAAACUUCUCAACUAGUCCAAGAAAAUCUAGUAUUAUUUCAAAGUUUUUUCCAGAAUUUUCCACCACAAAGAUGUGUUCCACUUUGCUCUCAUGUCUCAACUUGAGGAAAGCCUGAUGUGGCUUAAAAACAUUCCCAAGAGGAGAAGUUAAUU
RNAcentral lists this unclassified non-coding RNA (920 nucleotides) under Hevea brasiliensis (rubber tree). Lineage: Eukaryota; Viridiplantae; Streptophyta; Magnoliopsida; Malpighiales; Euphorbiaceae. The record is from RNAcentral.